Molecule: ribosomal RNA, 887 nt
Filed under: Nematoda environmental sample
Lineage: Eukaryota; Metazoa; Nematoda
Description: SSU rRNA
Rfam family: Eukaryotic small subunit ribosomal RNA
Source: RNAcentral
UAUAAUUUACUUGAUCUUGACACAAUCCUACUUGGAUAACUGUGGUAAUUCUAGAGCUAAUACAUGCAUUAAAGCUCUGACCUCACGGGAAGAGUGCACUUAUUAGAACAAAACCAAGCGGCUUCGGCUGUUUUCGGUUGACUCAUAGUAACUGAGCUGAUCGCACGGUCUUGCACCGGCGACGUGUCUUUCGAGUAUCUGCCGUAUCAACUUUCGAUGGUAGUGUAUCUGACUACCAUGGUGAUCACGCGUAACGGAGAAUAAGGGUUCGGCUCCGGAGAGUUCGCCUGAGAAAUCGCGAACACAUCUAAGGAAGGCAGCAGGCGCGAAAAUUACCCACUCUCAGCGCGAGGAGGUAGUGACGAAAAAUAACGAGACCGUUCUCUUAUGAGGCCGGUCAUCGGAAUGGGUACAAUUUAAACCCUUUAACGAGUAUCUAUGAGAGGGCAAGUCUGGUGCCAGCAGCCGCGGUAAUUCCAGCUCUCAAAGUGCAUAGAAUUAUUGCUGCGGUUAAAAAGCUCGUAGUUGGAUCUGUGCCAUAGGACGUGGUCCACCUUCUGGGUGCGUACUAUGUUCCUAGGCUUUUUGCUGGUUUUCCCGUCGUAGCCUUCAUUGGUUGCGGCGGGUGGCUGGCGAGUUUACUUUGAGAAAAUCAGAGUGCUCAACACAGGCGUAUCGCUUGAAUGAUUGUGCAUGGAAUAAUAGAAAAGGAUUUCGGUCCUCUUUUAUUGGUUUUGUGGACUGAGAUAAUGGUUAACAGGGACCAACGGGGGCAUUCGUAUCGCUGCGUGAGAGGUGAAAUUCUUGGACCGUAGCGAGACGCCCUACUGCGAAAGCAUUUGCCAAGAAUGUCUUCAUUAAUCAAGAACGAAAGUCAGAGGUUCGAA